CAGCCGCCGCGGGAAUACGGAGGGUGCAAGCGUUAAUCGGAAUUACUGGGCGUAAAGCGCACGCAGGCGGUCUGUCAAGUCAGAUGUGAAAUCCCCGGGCUUAACCUGGGAACUGCAUUUGAAACUGGCAGGCUAGAGUCUUGUAGAGGGGGGUAGAAUUCCAGGUGUAGCGGUGAAAUGCGUAGAGAUCUGGAGGAAUACCGGUGGCGAAGGCGGCCCCCUGGACAAAGACUGACGCUCAGGUGCGAAAGCGUGGGGAGCAAACAGGAUUAGAUACCCCAGUAGUCCCUGUCUCUUAUAA
RNAcentral lists this ribosomal RNA (301 nucleotides) under uncultured bacterium. RNAcentral's name for it is "partial 16S ribosomal RNA". It matches the Rfam family "Bacterial small subunit ribosomal RNA", at positions 509 to 809 of the family's 1533-position model. The record is from RNAcentral.